UUUUUUUUUGCUGCAAACAUUUUAUCCUAGACAAUCUGUUGAAAAGCUCACAACAGGUAAGCAGUUUCCAUUCUCUAACAUUUUUGAGAAAAUACGCAGAGCUACAUUUACUGCUACCAAAACAGAAAAGCCAACUUCAGAUUUGGAAACCUGUCAUUCAUUCAUUGUUGAUUUAAAACAUGGUUUACUUGGCUAAAUCUUGCAAGUCUAGGCCUACGGCUGCUAAACCCAUUUUUUUGUUAGGUAAUUUCUUAGCUAAAUAUCAUGGCAAAUCAGCUCUCAUUUUGAUCUUAUUGACUUAGACUGUGAAGCUGUCCUUUCCCGGUAGCAGGACUUUUGCUGGAGUGAGACUGAGAAGGCUCUCUUUGGAACAGCUUUUGGAGGAGUUAAGGGAAGAGUAACAGAGAUUCAUGUCAAAUGUUUGCCAGAGUACCAGGAAGCACACUCUGCUGCCUAACAUGCAACUCUAAAAUCAACAAGUCAGAAAGCCUCAAGACAUAUUCUGUGGUGUUGAACAGCUUCUGAGCACAGUUCCUGAAGUUAAAACAAAUUUCUUGAUGUGGAGAUAAAGACAGACCCUGGAAGGAUAUAAACAGUGGCACACCACCUUCUGGAGAAACCAAGGACUUUGUAACAGUAAACUGGUCCAGUGUGAUAUUACAAGUAUAAAAAAUAUUCCAUUCUGUAUCAAAACUAGGCACAUGCCUUUAUUUAUAGUAACAGAAGUUAACAGAAUUGAGCAUUUUUGCCUUGGGUCCUAUUUCUUGGCAUCCUACAUCAGACAAACACAUCUUUCAACAUAUAUCUGCCCAUAACUCCAGGGAUCUAGUCUCAGGGUUAUCUCUAUGUAAAGGAAGGUGAAAUCACACUUGGAUCGAUAGUGGUGAGUAACU
This is a non-coding RNA of Kogia breviceps (pygmy sperm whale), 893 nucleotides long. Lineage: Eukaryota; Metazoa; Chordata; Mammalia; Artiodactyla; Physeteridae. The record is from RefSeq and is a predicted model, not a curated record.